This is a non-coding RNA of Ictidomys tridecemlineatus (thirteen-lined ground squirrel), 3593 nucleotides long. Lineage: Eukaryota; Metazoa; Chordata; Mammalia; Rodentia; Sciuridae. The record is from RefSeq and is a predicted model, not a curated record.
UGCUUGUUGUUCCAUCACCUGAUUUAGUGGUUUUAUUCUCUGGAGAAGGAAUUAUAAUGCCACGUGAUUUUUGAGACUGGUGGACAUUGGACUCUGUUUCCAUAGUCCUGGGUGGUUCCUGGAACUUUGGCUGAAGCUUUAGUCUUCUUUGUAAUGUCCUAUUAUUUGGGAUAUUCAAGACCCAACAGAAAAUUUCUCUAAUAUGUGAGCAAGCAGUGGAACAACUGAUUGGAGUCCUGCAGGUUCAAUUUCUUGCCAGAAGACUUAGAGCAGAUGCUGCCUGAAGGAGACUCUGUAAGUCCUUUGUUUGUCUGAGUGGUUGGUAACGUUAAAUUGAAUACAGUGUUUCUAGGAUUAGUGAACUGUUGGACAAAGUGGUGAAAUCAUCACUGCUGUCAACAAAAAUUCACUAAGGGAGAAUUCAAGAUAAAAAGGAAGGCUCAUAGCUUAUUGGUUAGUCCAAGCAGCAAAAAUAAACACCCAUGUCAGAGAGAGGGAGGAGCAGAGAUUUAUUCAGGAAAGCAAGGAAUCCAUAUUCAGGAAGAAUGCGGCUAUCAAGGGAGUGAGAUGCACCUUUUGGGAGCUCAGGCUCUUAGAAAAAAAUCUGGCUUGGGAAGUGACAGCCCUUGGAGAAAAACUGACCAGAGAGCGAAGACAUCUGUGAUGCUCUGCUGGCCUCUGCCUUGCCCCAGGUGUCCUUCAGCAGCUCUUCAGAGCUGUCCAGUAGCCAUGGCUUUGGCUUUGCAAGUCUAAAUCAGAGAGAUGGUUUGCUGCCCAUGUUGAUGUGUCCUGCCGGUCAGGACAUUUGGCGCCCAAUGUGGGGCUCCAGCCUUUGACUGAGAAGGAACGCUGUCCUCCGGGAAGACUUGGCCAAAUGGAGCUCACGAUCGCCUCGGCAGACACGACCAAGAGACAGAUCCAGGAGGAGAGUGGGGACGAUGCACGAUUCAGACAGCUGGCUUACAUGCUUGGAGACGCCUCCCUCAAAAGGGCUCAGCUACCACUUCCCUAGCAAAAAUUUGACAAGGGCCUGACGAGCCUUAUAGUGACUUUGUUGCCUGGCUUAACCUAGCCGCGGAUUGCCUUUGGACCAAGCGAAAGCACCUUUGUAAAACAUCUUGCCUUUGAAAACGCCAACCCAGCAUGUCAGGAUGUUCUUCUGCCACAUAAAGAUGCAGCCAACAAUCUGUGGGAGGAUCCUGCUUAAGGCACUUCUGCUGAACAGUUUUGUACACGGAGGCCUUAGCCCUUCACCUUCCAACAUCAGGGAGUACCUUUUUGCCCCCCCCCUCCCCGCGAAUGCAGGGGAGGAUCUUGGACUCAGGCUUCCACUAGUUGGACCCAGACUGCUGACUGCUUGACUAAGGUGGCUUCCCUCUGUGCUGAGGUUGACCAUAAACUCGGAGGAGUUCAUCAGCCUGAAUGGGGUUAAGUUAUCGCUCCUCCAUGGGCCCCUCCGCUUGGGGGACGACGCACCCUUGGAGUGAGGACGUUAGGCCAUAAUAAUGGAGGGUGCCGGAAGGACUGCAGGAGGAUGGAUCCACAGAUCCCAAAACCCAAGACCUCUGAGUGACACACUCUGGUGAUGGCGGUUGGCAUGCUCCUGCCUCCAAGCCGUCUCCUCCAAAAACAUGCCAAGGCCACCACAAAAUCUCCUAAUGAAGAUGCUCGCUCAGAUCAGGAGACAUUCUAAGGCCUCCUAGAGGAACAGAGCCUCUAUCACCCCCUACAAACAUGGCCGGUAAGGCAAUCACUCUCCUAGCCCUGGGCACCAAGAAGAAAGACUUGGGAUGGGGAGCCCAUUCGGCUUAGUAACCUACAGAAGCAGAGAUGGCGACACAAACAGGAAAGGGGCUGAAGAGAGGCAGACAAGAGGGCAGAUUCCAGCAAGAUUUAAGAAGCUGAAAAUAUGGAGCUGACAUCAGACAGGAUGUGAAGGGAAGGGGAGAAUCCAGGAAGUGACAAGAGAUUUCCAGCUUGGGCAGCUCUGGGUGUGCUGUCCAUCACUGAGGUUGCACUGCCACAUACACAGCAGGGUGCUGGCAGAGCCACAUGGAGGAGGACACUUACCAUUGGUCUUCAGUAACCACCUCAGCACAUUUCACAUGGACAGAAAGAUGGUGCUCCUGUUGUGGAAUAGCUGCCUCAGCCCAUCUGUUGAACACAACACUUGGAUCUAAACUUGUGCUGGAAACCUGCCAGAAAUAGCCCAGCCCUCUCUACAAAUGGACUCCUCACCAUGAACACAGUGUAACUCCAGCUGCACUCGCCUUCCUCCCACAGUCCCUUCUCAGCCUCCCCAGCCUGGGUCUGUCCCUCUCUUCUGUGCUCAGCAUCAUGUUCCCGUUCUGUCUCACUGAUAGGUAUCCAACUCAGAAUCAGAAGUCUAUUGAAAGUGUCCCUUAAAGAUGAUGCAAUUAUGUGACCAGGCCUUGGACCAUCGGGAUGAUCUGCUCCCCACCCCAGGAGCCACCCACUACAUCUGGAGUGCACACAACCAGCAAGGCCAGGGACCCAUUCACUAGCAAAUUGGAGCCUUUAAUGGGUGCUUGUGGGUCCCCCAUUGGAGAAGAACCUGAUAUCAUGGCAGAGACACAGGACAGUCUUUUAUCCCCCACACCUUUCACAGGCAGGGACAGUGUGACAGCACAGGAAAUGCCAUGCCAUUGUGGAGGAUGGCAUGGGAGUGGCAGAAAAAAAAGAGCAUCUCAUAUGCAGGUGCAGGGGCAGUGACUAAAAGGUGUGAUUUGACUCUGAUUUUGCUGAGCUUUGAGGUAGGGCCUGUGAUCUUCGGAGGCCCAGGGCACUAGUUCGUGCAUCUGAAUUUUGGACAGCUCCUGUCCCCACACUAAUGACAGCUUUUUACUUCAAGACUGAAAGCAACAUUUCAUGCAUGGUGUCAUCUUCAUGAAACCAGAAAAACACCACCAUGGCAUGGCUUUUCAGCACGAGGCCUGCUCCAGGUAAGGUCAUCAGAUGCAAAGGUGAAUGUUCCAGGAAAUCGCCAUCCAUCUUUCAUACAGAGGUGGCCCCGCAGUGGUCUGGCCAUGACCACUGGAGGUAGAGAUGAGAGGCACAGAGAAAGAUGGCUCCAGCCCUGCAUCUGUGGAGGGCCUAGCAUCUUACACCCAGCACGGCUCACUCCUGCAGCCCAGGAGACAAGCCUGCUCCCUUUGAUAAACAAGUUUAAGCUGACUUAGGGUUAUUUUGUUACUUUAAACCAAAGACCCCUACCUCAUAUAAAUUUCAUUCAGAUUCAUUCAGUCAAUGAAGCUGAGACCAGAGCUGAAAUGGUCCUUAUCCUGUUACAGGCUGAAGCUUGGAUGUUGCCUGUCCCCCAGGGUCCCUAUGUUGAAGACUCAGCUCUCAGAAUGUCCCUGGGGAGGUGCAAUACAGAGGCAUGUCUUCAGGAGGGCUCUGCAGGUGAUGGAGGCCCAGGCUUGUCUUUAAUUAAAACAGAACAAAGCCCAUACAAAGAAAGUGCCCUGUAUACAGAAAACACUUCUAUAAAAAAAAACCCACUGGGCAGAAUCAUAUGCCCAGCUCCUAGCUGCAGAUCAGUGCCUUCUUAAGUAAAUGCUUUUUGACACUUA